RNAcentral lists this ribosomal RNA (497 nucleotides) under uncultured bacterium. RNAcentral describes it as "partial 16S ribosomal RNA". It matches the Rfam family "Bacterial small subunit ribosomal RNA", at positions 28 to 507 of the family's 1533-position model. The record is from RNAcentral.
GAUGAACGCUGGCGGCGUGCCUAAUACAUGCAAGUCGAGCGAACAGACGAGGAGCUUGCUCCUCUGACGUUAGCGGCGGACGGGUGAGUAACACGUGGAUAACCUACCUAUAAGACUGGGAUAACUUCGGGAAACCGGAGCUAAUACCGGAUAAUAUAUUGAACCGCAUGGUUCAAUAGUGAAAGACGGUUUUGCUGUCACUUAUAGAUGGAUCCGCGCCGCAUUAGCUAGUUGGUAAGGUAACGGCUUACCAAGGCAACGAUGCGUAGCCGACCUGAGAGGGUGAUCGGCCACACUGGAACUGAGACACGGUCCAGACGCCUACGGGAGGCAGCAGUAGGGAAUCUUCCGCAAUGGGCGAAAGCCUGACGGAGCAACGCCGCGUGAGUGAUGAAGGUCUUCGGAUCGUAAAACUCGGUUAUUAGGGAAGAACAAAUGUGUAAGUAACUAUGCACGUCUUGACGGUACCUAAUCAGAAAGCCACGGCUAACUACGUG